RNAcentral lists this long non-coding RNA (1385 nucleotides) under Mus musculus (house mouse). RNAcentral's name for it is "long non-coding RNA chr19:9939265-9940650". The record is from RNAcentral. Lineage: Eukaryota; Metazoa; Chordata; Mammalia; Rodentia; Muridae.
ACUGGCCUUGAGCCGGCUCACUGACUCUUCACUACCAGAGAAGAAGCAGUUGUAGAGACAGAUAACUCCUCCUGCCUUUGUGGUCUUUACAAGAGGCGUUAGACCAAAUAACAAUUAGCUCUAACUCUAAUUCAGACCUUUCCGAAGACAACCAAUACCUGUUACUCUUUCGUUGGUUUUUGCUUUUUGAGACAGGAGCUCAUCCAUUGCUCAGGUCUAGAACUCACUAUGUAGCUCAGACUGGUCUUGAACUUGCAGCAAUCCACCUACGUCUCCCCAGUGUUAGGAUUAUGGGUAUGAGCCACCAUGCCUGGCUUCUGCCUAUUAAUUUAAAAGGGACGGGGAAGAAAUUAGAAAACGUACUUUCUCUCAAUCAUAUAGAACAGUUGGAUGAGUUGUAUAUUUUUCUGAAUGACUCUCAUCAGAUGUGUUCUGUCAUUUCACAUCUAUUACCUGGUGUGUGUGUGUGUGUGUGUGUGUGUGUGUGUGUGUGUGUGCGCACACGCAUGUGCACGCACGCGUGCAAGUUUUUCCCACAACAACCAACUUCCCAACACUAUCUGGGCAUCCUCUAAUCCAGUUUUACUAAUACCUGGAGCUAGAGUCGGCUUUCAUAGCUUGGUCCGUGUUACCAUAGGAACGGAAUUUUGAGCACUUGAUCCCCAGCACUAUUUGAAGGCUCUGGAGCCAUCAAAAGGUGGGGUCUGACUGGAAGGAGUGAGUCACCUACUAAGGGCCCCUUGGUGGUGGUGUUGGGGGUUCACCACUUUCUGCUUUCUGCCUGUGAUCCUGACUUGCGGAGCCCCAGCCUAGGAUGAAACCCCUCCCACCACCUGCAGCUCCUCCGGAAACCUGAGCCAAAACAACAAGCCUUUUCUUCUUAAGAUGCUUCUGGCCAGUAUUUGUCAGAAAGAGAAAAGUAACUCAGCCAAGCCGGCCUGCCCUUCACAAGUCCAGACGUCCCAUGCCUCUGACCAACUGUUGUAAGUUAAAGGCUCCUAGAAUUUCCUGCUCAACUUGAAUCAUUUGCUAGAAUGGCCCCAGAUCUUGAGGAAUGACCACCUGUAACCCAUCCCUCUGACCACUCCCCACACAGCUCGAAUGUGCAGCUGACUCCAACACGGCUUUUCUGCCCUCAACUUAGGCUCUUCUUGUAUUUCCUGUCCUAAUAUGGUGUUCAUUCAUUUGAACAUGUCAUAAUUACCUGCACUAAUAUAGAGUGAGCAGUUUCUGUGUGCUGGACACUGGUCUAAAUACAUACAAUGUAUCUACUCAUUUAAUAUUCACCAUAUUAAAUAUAGGUAGAUAUUCUCACUGUGCCCAUCUUGCAGGCCAUAAAACUGAGGUUUGAGAUUCUUACCAUUAAGAAGCAAUAAGAUAAGAUG